GUCACUUUGGCGGCACAUAUGCUAAAAUUGGAGCAGUACAGAGAUUAGCAUGGCCCCUGUGUGAGAAUGACACACAGAUUUGUGAAGCAUUCCAUUAAAGA
Chlorocebus sabaeus (green monkey) is the source of this 101-nucleotide small nuclear RNA. NCBI's taxonomy places the organism in Eukaryota, Metazoa, Chordata, Mammalia, Primates, Cercopithecidae. The record is from Ensembl.